Molecule: long non-coding RNA, 6808 nt
Filed under: Podarcis lilfordi (Lilford's wall lizard)
Lineage: Eukaryota; Metazoa; Chordata; Lepidosauria; Squamata; Lacertidae
Source: RNAcentral
ACAAUGCAACCAACAGACAGGACCACCAAUUUCAUGUCCCUGAUUUAACUGAACAUUUUACAGGGUUUGUCCUUACAAACAAAAGAUAAUUGCUCCCAUUCUGAAUCAUCUGCCCAAGACUACCCAGGGAAUCUAUAAACUGGUUGUAUUUUGAACCCAGGUCUCCUUUGUAGAAGUCCAAUUAUCUGUCCACUGAAUGACUUUGACUUUUAAAGCAAUUGCUAAAGGUGGGGGAGACAUGCUUCAUUUACAAGGUAUCUUUCCAACUUCCAAUAAUACCCCAUAUUGAUCACCACAGGUAAUUUCAACCCUUUCUGUAAUGAAAGGUCAGUUUUCUGUACUUUGAGACUGGGAAUGCUAUCGUAGUAAUACUGGUGCAUUAUUUUAUAAAUAGUCAACUCAUUACUAUUUCAAUUGAGAAAUGCUAACACUUCAAACUUUCCAGCACCAAUCAUGCUCAAUCUAGACACUAAAUAAAACAAAUCUGGAAAGUAUCCCAGGGCAGGCCUUGCCAGAACCAUUGUUCGCAGGCCCCAGCUGCAACAUUGCAUGCUGAAACUUUAGAUUUUCUUUACUCUGGUCCUCUGAACUUUACCAAGGUUAAGGCAAAUUGGAUGGGUUUUGCCUGCUAACAGCAACCAGGCCUGUGAAUAAGCACCAAUUUCUCUGGAGAACAGAAUCAAUGUGGUCCAUGGUGCUGAGGAAUGAAAUUUGAACCCACUAUAGCAUAUGUACCUGGUAGAGCAAAGUUUAGUUUAGCCUACCCACUAGGGGAGAGUGGUUAUGUAAGCUUUCAGAAUAUUUAGAAUUAGCCAAAUUGGCAGAUAUAAUAAGACAAAAACCAAAAAGUGAAGUGAAAAAGGAAUGGGAGUGUCUAAAUGAAUACCUUAAAAGCCUAGGUUCGAGGACAGAAAUCUGCCUGAGUCUGGAAUAACCUUGUGAAGUGAAAGGAUAAGAAAGAGGGAUUUAUAUCUGGAUGCUAGGAUAGAGAUGAUAAGGAAAACAGGAAAGCAGGAAGACACAAUGAGAGGUAAAGGAGGUGCUGUGGGAUUGGUGGAAGUCAAUGUUUGUUUUCUUUUUAAUGUUUAGAUUAUUAACUUGUGUUUUUUUUUGAAUGUCGGUUUUUGUGUUUUGUGUAUUGUUAUUUUUCAAUAUUUUUCGUGUUGUUGUUGUUGCUGUUGUGUGGAAAAUACUAAUAAAAUUUGCAAUUAAUUUAUUAUUAUUAUUAUUUAAAAAGGAAGAGCCUCCUCUUGGUUAACAGGUAAGGUCCUUUAGGAAGAAUGCCACCAAGGAGGAAGGGCCUAAUCUCUGCUCCCAGACUGAGUUCAGAGCCAGAAAGAAAGCUCAUAAGCCUCCACAAGUACAAACUACAUAUAAAAACACAAGACACAACAUUCACUGUUUUGAGCUCAUUAUGAGAGUUCAGCUUGUGUCUUUUCUGUUCUUUAGUGUCUUUCCUGUUCUUUUUAUUUCAGCUCAUCUCUCUAUGUUAAUAUUGAAUUGAUUCUGACAGUCUAGUAAAAUUCUCAUGAGGUGAUGAAACAGCACACCAGUGUCCACAUUAAAUGACUUGUGAGCUUGGAUAGCUCCGUUGGUGAGAGCAUGGUGUUGAUAAUGCCAAUGUUGCAGGUUCAAUCCCCCAUAUGGGACAGCUGCAUAUUCCUGCAUUGCAAGGGGUUGGACUCUAUUAUUCUAUGUAGAUGAUGAUAAUAAUAAUAAUAAUAAUAAUAAUAAUAAUAAUAAUAAUAAUAAUUUUAUCAUUCAUACCCCGCCCAUAUGGCUGAGUUUCCCCAGCCAUUCUGGGCGGCUCCCAAUCGAGUGUUAAAAACAAUACAGCAUUAAAUAUUAAAAACCUCCCUCAACAGGGCUGCCUUCAGAUGUCUUUUAAAGAUAAUAUAGCUGCUUAUUUCCUUCACAUCUGAUGGGAGGGUGUUCCGCAGGGCGGGCGCCACUACAGAGAAGGCCCUCUGCCUGGUUCCCUGUAACCUCACUUCUCGCAAUGAGGGAACCGCCAGAAGGCCCUCGGCACUGGAUCUCUGGCUGAACGAUGGGGGUGGAGAUGCUCCUUCAGGUAUACAUGACUGAGGUCGUUUAGGGCUUUAAAGGUCACCACCAACACUUUGAAUUGUGCUUGGAAACGUACUGGGAGCCAAUGCAGAUCUCUCAGGACCGGUGUUAUGUGGUCCCGGCGGCCACUCCCAGUCACCAGUCUAGCUGCUGCAUUCUGGAUUAAUUGCAGUUUCCAGGUCAACUUCAAAGGUAGCCCCACAUAGAUCGCAUUGCAGUAGUCCAAGCGGGAGAUAACUAGAGCAUCUAGAGAUAGAGACUCUCCUCCUGGAAGAGAGGGGAGUGGUUGUGGGCGGGAACCCAAGCCCCACCUCUAGCAGGGGGCGUUAGCCCCCUGCCUCCCACUCACCUGGCUGGCGCCCACGCCCAUCGGCAGGCACCCAACCAGGUGCCUCCGAGGGAGCGUGUUCAGCAGCCUAAAUGCUGCGGCGCCAGCCCCCCUGCCUCCCACUCACCUGGCUGGUGCCCACGCCCAUCGGCAGGCACCCAACCAGGUGCCUCCGAGGGAGCGUGUUCAGCAGCCUAAAUGCUGCGGCGCCAGCCCCUCCUCUGCCUCACUCUUCAUCGUCCCAUCGCGAUUCACCCACCCUCCACUCCCUUUGAGCUCAGGGUCUUAGUUUUCCUUGGCCUUGCUAUGGACCUUUGGUUGGUCGCCCUGGUUGUCCGGGGGGCCUGGUAGGAAUUUUUCCAUUUGGCAUUAGGCUUUUUGGUUUUUUCGCCUACCUCGUAGCAAUCAUCACAACUUUCGUGGUAUUGGUGGGUAGGUUAGGCAUUGGAAUAAUGUGUUGUGGUGUUGAAGGGCUAGGUGUGGCCAUCGCCUAUGCCUUUAAUUUUUGGGUAUUCCGUUAAAGGAAUCUGGCGGUCGUUCUGUCCGAUGCCUGCUUGGCGGGAGGCCAUGGCACGACCCUCGGUGACAUCAGGGGAGAGCCUAUAGUUGGAUUAGCAUCAACAGGCUCCACCUACUGGUGAAUAAACCCCCUUCGUUUCAGACUCACCCCUCUCUGAGGGGGUGGAGUCAGCUGACGUAAUCCAAUGCCUAAGCCAAUACCUUUUCACUUGCUGUAAUCAAUAAAGUUGUGGCCUUUUCUUGCCCAUUAACCUUAUAUCACGUGUCCUUGUGUAUUCAUUCCUCUUUGGGGGGAUCAGGUCCUCGAACCACAACUACAUAGAUAUACUCUAUGUAGAUAUUAUGUACCCACCAAAAUUUUACAUAUGACGUAAGUACCUCAAGCAUCAGUACUCAAGCUCAUUUGACUUUUUUACCUGCUAUCAAGUUGACUUUGCUGAACCAUGUAAUCCUGUGUGUUCUUGUUAAAAAAAAAAAAAGUGUGAAUGACCAAAGAGGGUGGGAGUGGAGGAGGAGAGCACAAGAGUGUGGAAGCCUUUGAAAACUGCCCAUGGUCUCAGUGACGCUGCAUAGAAAUGAUGUUCAUAGGUUCAUUGCAUGAUGUUUCUUAGUUGCCAAUAUAAUGCAUGUGUGUCAAACAUCCAUUUUUAAGUGUGUGUUUGAUGGGAGAGAGACGACAUUAAAGCACCCAUGAAGAACCAGCUCCUUCAAUUUUUUAAACUUGGAACUUGAAUACUGGGGGCAGGGAGGGGGACACCAUGAUCAUAGCAGUUAAGAUAGAUGUGGCAUAUCUUUUGAAAACUCUCUUCAACUUAAUUGCCUAUAUAUAGAGUGCUUUCAUGGUUAUCCCCAAAUGCCAUCUCCAGGUGACCUCUCCUGCUUAUAUUCAUUUCCUUGGGCAUCAAGAAUUAUGACUGCUGAAAUGCUGAACUUCCCUGCUUUGAGGCCAGUAAAUGUGAUCUGACAAGUUACUGGAACAAUUUCACCUUCCUAUCAAUGCAGAAGUGGAGAAAAGCGUAUUAAGAACAGCAGGGUCAACAGUAAGGCACCAUGGUAAAGAUGCGUGUAUGCUCAGAAACAGUCUGGCUAUGAAUGGAAAACAGGCCAGUUUAAAAAGCUGAAUAAUUAUUAUUUUUUUAAAAACCUUCCAAAGUUGAAGUUCAUUGCUGAGCUGUGGAUUCAAGACACUUCUAAAUGAGGCAAAACCUGGACAAAAACCAUGCUAGAUACACCAGAGGUUGAUAGUGCUCUCUUGUUUUGUUUUAAUCUAAUUGCUAGGUGGCGUUGAUGGUGGGGAAACAGCCCAGAAACUGCUAAUACAUUGGAAAAAGGCUUUACAUUUACACGGCAAACCCAAUUCCUUUGAGGAACACAGGUUGCCAAUGCAGAUGGUGCCUUCGUUAUCUUGGCAAGUGCUGCGGCAUGUGUUCUUAAUGAAACCAGUAGGACUAGUUGGGCAAAAUGUGAACCCAGAACCACAAGGGUUCUGCAGCAGGAUGCAUAUGCUACACUGCACUUCCCCUUGAUUCAUGAAGAUUAUAUGCCAAUGUUGACAGAAGUCCAAAGAGGCUAUUUGUUGGAAGCCUGUUUCACGCAGCUGAUUGUGUACAUAACUUAUGGAAGAGUGGUGAAUCUGCAUGCCUAAAUGCCUGACUCCAUGUGGAAAUUUCACACCCACAAAAAAUACUUUGAGCAUAUGAGCAUUCACCAUAUUUAUGAUUCUCUUCAGCAACAUUGUUCCCCUUGAUUUUUUUGCUUCUUUGGGGUCAUCCUCCCAAUCCCCCUCCUCUUUGGAUUAGUCACACACACAUAUAUUUAAAUUAAAACACAUUUAUUCAAAAGUUACCAUACAGCUUUGUCCACUGCCGUAAUAUCACAGAAUGAUCACUCCAAUCCUCAAUCCCUCAUCACUGAUGUACAUAUAUAUACAUGACAGUGAUGAGGGACUGAGGAUUGGAGUGAUCAUUCUGUGAGUAUAUGUAUGUGUGUGUGUGUGUGUGUGUGUGUGUGUGAAUGACUAUAUAUACACACACACACACACACACACACACACACACACACAUAUGAUCCCACCUAAUUAGGAGUCACAUGGUAAAUGGGAUUGUGUCAAAAUACUAUGUUGCUAACCUGGCUUGCCUGUAGAAUGACAUCACUAACAGCAAAGAAAGCAAAUAAGAAAUUAUUAUUUUUGCCAAUGUCACAAAUUUUAGUGAAUGGGAGCAGUUAUACUAGGUGGUUUCAUUUUAGACCUAGUUCCCUCCCUUCAGCUUGCAGGCUUCUGAAUUUUACCUGUGAUAAUUUGUCUGAAGCAGAGUAGGUAUUUCUAUAUAUUGGGAAAUGCUUGUGGGGAUACAUAUCUAUUGUCUACUGUCUAUCCUGCAAACCUUACUGGCAGACAUACAAGUUUUGUCUGCAUGACGGCUGUUAAUGGAGUACCCCUCCGAAAGGUCAGAGCCAACUGGAGUACUCACUGGAAGAAAGAAGCUCAUUUUGCUGACAUAGUGUCAGACACAAGUGAAGAGUGGAAGUCAAUGGUGCAUGAGAAGUAUUAAACUCUGCACUGACUACCACCUCCCCUUCAAAAUGUGAUUGUUGCAGAACAGUUUCCUCCCCACUGCCCUUAAAUAAGAUUUCCUGUAAAAGAUUAGUUCACACUAAAAUCUUAUGUCAAAUUUUGAGUCAAAGUCUUCUUGCAACCAUAACCGAAACACAUUUGUUUCCCCCAGUUAUUCUCUGUGGAGUUUUGUGAUGAAUAUCCACUAUGUAACUCUAAGCAGAUGAAUAUUCUGUUUAUAUUUCCAGGACUUUGAUAUUAGUAUGUGAUAUCUCAUGAUAUUUGAGAUCAACAUUUGGGUCAGGAUCCACAGUGCUUUAUGCAUGUGUUUUUGUGUGUGCAUGGGGACACCAGCAAUUUUUACUUCACCUCCUGUGCUUUCUUGGACACCGCUAUAGGUUUUGUGCUAGCUCCUCUUCCGUACAGCAGCUACUGUUACAAAAAGACAGAAAUACCCAUUCAGAAGAGCACUCCAGUGUUCUCAGAACAAACAGAGGGCCAUACUCAAUGGGUGUGCUCCUAAUAUCCAUGUGCCCAAUGACUUUGCCCUGCUUCCAACACUCAUGAGGUCAGCAGAAGAUCUGAAUGGGGAGCCUAUGCAUGUACAGGUGUGUGUGUGUGCAGAAGCUUCUCCAAGUGAUGGUGAUUCCCCCAUUGCAGAAGAUUAGUAAUUGCAAGGAGUCUACAUGCACUGGUUCCCUGUUCAGAACUUCCACCGAACACCUGGGGCUGGAGAGCAAAGCCAGUGGGCAAGUUGUCGUUGGGCAUGGGACAAUGACCACAUCGCUAAUUCCACUUCUCUGUAUUUGCUGAAUACACAGAGAGUUUUUCUGAAUAAGGCUGCAAUGGAAAGACUGGACAGGCAACCAAAACUGACAAUGGAGAGGAAUGGCAUUGCAAAUACCUUCAAAAACUAUCAGGUUCAAAGUUUCAUAGUUGAACUCCAUACAUCCAUGUCUCUUUGUACCUACAUUAGCCUUACAUUUCCCCCUAUAGUACUCCAUGACUUAAUUUCCACAACUGAACCAAAAUAUCAGUGUCUACCCUUCUGAUAAAUAGUUUCAAGGCUGUACUAUGUCAAGAUCAAGCAAAAAUAGAAGUCCAGGUUUUAAGUUGGAUUCCUAUGAUGUGUGGAACUCCAGUCAAUGUUGCUUACAGUUCCUAUUUUACCAAUAGGGAGGUACAUUCAGUGAAUCCAGCCUACCUAACAGCUUCCAAUCUUAUAGAUGCAUGAAGUUUUUUAAAUGGAGGGAAACACAGGCUGAUUUGCCCCAGGUCAUCUUGCUACAAGAGUUAAUGGCGAAGGAAUAAAGAAAAGGCCCCCAUGCAAGGCACAGAAC